CCAAAAAUCAAGUCCCAAUGUUCAGAGCCAAUGCGGCUGAGGCAUCCGCAGUUGCCGUGAUUCAUUCUGAUCAAAGUCUUUGUUUCUUUCUCCUAAUUUCUUUUUCUCUUAGCCUGAAACAGUAGUAGAGAACAUAUCUUCUCCACAAGUGUGUGCUAAAUGAACAAGCACCUGAGGUAAAGGGGACGGUGGAGAGCGAAGAGGGACAGCGGUGCCGCGGAGUGACUGGAGGAACGAGGGUACCACAAACAGAAACCGCUGGAGAGGGUAACAGAUCCUAGAAGAGUAUCUUCUCAGAAUCAAGCGCUCGACAUCAGGAAACCACAACACUCAGGGACUUCUGCAAAUGAUUUUGGUGGAAAAUCAUCUGACACAGUCAUAAGGGCUCGGUUUGCAAGAUCUUCUCUGGAAGCUGUUAACUUGAGGAAAUGCUGAUGAAUAUCCCCAGCAGAAGAGCCAUCAUGUCGGCACCACCAUCACCAGCAGUCCUUUCUACAGAAUGCAAACUUCACUACUGGACAAGCAAGACUUCCCUGAUGAAAGGAGGACAGCAGCGCUGACAAGACAAGGAGCAGUCCGUUGAAUCCAGCGGUAUUUUCUGCCAAAGUUGCAUGCACUGUCAGAGCAACAGCCUCAGUCAUAAGAUGCAGCACAGAAUCCGUAACGAGCUUCAUCUACUGUUCAACCAAAUUUUUAAUUUGCUUGUGCCUGAGGGGUAAUGUGUCUGAUUCUCUUCUAGGUUUGCUCUCUGUUAUUCUGUCCCUCUGCCUCCCAAUUCUGCCCUUAGCUUUAAAUUUUAAAUUACUUUCCUACAAUGUGUCCAUUAUUUUGUCCUAAAUUUCUAUCUUCUGUGUGCUUCACGUUGUAGUUCUUGUUGCUGUCCACUUUUAAUACCAGUAACUGCUCUGAAUUUUAAAAUAAAACUGUCACUAAUCCUUGUCCAG
This 944-nucleotide long non-coding RNA is filed under the name Equus caballus (horse). RNAcentral describes it as "lncRNA (ENSECAG00000043525.2)". Lineage: Eukaryota; Metazoa; Chordata; Mammalia; Perissodactyla; Equidae. The record is from RNAcentral.